UGGGGAAUUUUGACAAUGGGCGCAAGCCUGAUCCAGCCAUGCCGCGUGCGGGAAGAAGGCCUUCGGGUUGUAAACCGCUUUUGUCAGGGAAGAAAUCUUCUGAGUUAAUACCUCGGGGAGGAUGACGGUACCUGAAGAAUAAGCACCGGCUAACUACGUGCCAGCAGCCGCGGUAAUACGUAGGGUGCAAGCGUUAAUCGGAAUUACUGGGCGUAAAGCGUGCGCAGGCGGUUUUGUAAGACGAGGUGAAAUCCCCGGGCUCAACCUGGGAACUGCCUUUGUGACUGCAAGGCUUGAGUGCGGCAGAGGGGGGAUGGAAUUCCGCGUGUAGCGUGAAAAUGCGUAGAUAUGCGGNGGAAACACCGAUGGCGAAGGCAAUCCCCCUGGGGCCUGNACUGACGCUCAUGCACGAAAGCGU
Molecule: ribosomal RNA, 418 nt
Filed under: uncultured bacterium
Lineage: Bacteria
Description: partial 16S ribosomal RNA
Rfam family: Bacterial small subunit ribosomal RNA
Source: RNAcentral